AAAAUGUUUUGUUGCAUAAUGUUGUGCUUAUUUUCUUUUCACUGUUAUGAGCAUUUAAGCAAAACUUUGCACUUAAAAAAUAUAUAUAAAAAAAAUAAAAACGGAAGCGUAAAACGUUCGUUGGACAUUUUCGGACGCAGUUUUGCAUGGCGACGUUGCUAAAUGAACCGAGAGAAAAAAUUAUCCGAAAAAUACAAAAAAAAAUAAAGAAA
Molecule: long non-coding RNA, 212 nt
Organism: Drosophila innubila
Lineage: Eukaryota; Metazoa; Arthropoda; Insecta; Diptera; Drosophilidae
Exons: 2
Source: RefSeq, a predicted model, not a curated record